RNAcentral lists this ribosomal RNA (744 nucleotides) under uncultured bacterium. Its description in RNAcentral is "bacterial SSU rRNA". It matches the Rfam family "Bacterial small subunit ribosomal RNA", at positions 8 to 796 of the family's 1533-position model. The record is from RNAcentral.
AGAGUUUGAUCCUGGCUCAGGGCGAACGCUGGCGGCAGGCUUAACACAUGCAAGUCGAGCGGGCGUAGCAAUACGUCAGCGGCAGACGGGUGAGUAACGCGUGGGAACGUACCUUUUGGUUCGGAACAACCCAGGGAAACUUGGACUAAUACCGGAUAAGCCCUUACGGGGAAAGAUUUAUCGCCGAAAGAUCGGCCCGCGUCUGAUUAGCUAGUUGGUGAGGUAAUGGCUCACCAAGGCGACGAUCAGUAGCUGGUCUGAGAGGAUGAUCAGCCACAUUGGGACUGAGACACGGCCCAAACUCCUACGGGAGGCAGCAGUGGGGAAUAUUGGACAAUGGGCGCAAGCCUGAUCCAGCCACGCCGCGUGAGUGAUGAAGGCCCUAGGGUUGUAAAGCUCUUUUGUGCGGGAAGAUAAUGACGGUACCGCAAGAAUAAGCCCCGGCUAACUUCGUGCCAGCAGCCGCGGUAAUACGAAGGGGGCUAGCGUUGCUCGGAAUCACUGGGCGUAAAGGGUGCGUAGGCGGGUCUUUAAGUCAGGGGUGAAAUCCUGGAGCUCAACUCCAGAACUGCCUUUGAUACUGAAGAUCUUGAGUUCGGGAGAGGUGAGUGGAACUGCGAGUGUAGAGGUGAAAUUCGUAGAUAUUCGCAAGAACACCAGUGGCGAAGGCGGCUCACUGGCCCGAUACUGACGCUGAGGCACGAAAGCGUGGGGAGCAAACAGGAUUAGAUACCCCGGUAGUCC